Molecule: unclassified non-coding RNA, 950 nt
Filed under: Bos taurus (domestic cattle)
Lineage: Eukaryota; Metazoa; Chordata; Mammalia; Artiodactyla; Bovidae
Description: hypothetical LOC100196901
Source: RNAcentral
CAUGGCUGGCAGUCAUGGCUUCCUCGCUGUGGUUCCAGCAAGGCCAGCAACUUCGGCUCUUGGGCCGAGGGAAGGCUGUGGAGGCUUUCUUUGGCAUCUGCAGAGACGGUGAGCAGCAGACCUGCUUAGAAGUAACGAAUGGAAGUCUGAAAUAGAAUAAAGAUGUAGGCUGUGGGCUUUGAAAAAGUCACAAGAAAGCCGUCAUCCAGGGAUGUAAGGAUCCUUGUGAUGAGAUAAAUGGUACAGCUUCAGUUUGAGGCCGAAAAGGAUACUCCAGAAAAAGACACUGGCUGCAGUGCUGUGGUGGCUGCCCUGGACCCGACGUGGAAUUUCUCUCGUGUCCACAGCGUGUGUAACAGGACCGACCUGCUUUACCUAAAGCAAGUGAAACCGUUCCUCUCGCGUUGUUUGUAACGUAAGCUGUUUUUAUCUUACGUGUCCGAAAGAAUCCCCGCAAGCCUGUGAUGUUCUGCCGCAGGUGAACCAUGGCCCUUGGCAGUGAGAGCACCGAGUCCUAACCAUUGGACCACCAGGGGAUUCCCUGAACCUGUAUGUUUGACUUCAGAGGGCGUCUGAAUAUAAAUGCCCCCAGCACUUGGUGGGUGCUCUUUACUGGGCCCUUGCACCGUCUCCUGGAAAGAGGCAUUUGGGACCCACUAGCCUGCCUUACACACAAACACACAGGAAAAUGAUCGAUGGCUUAGAAUGAGUUCCUUCAGGAUUGCCUCUUGUAAAUUAAGGUAUAACUAAGAACAUGUGCAAUACCACACACAGAAUUUAGAUGAUCUUGGUGCAGUGGGGGGACUGCAGUGAUUGUAAAAUGAAACUUGCAUGUACACGCUCUGUUGAAGACUAAGGGGAAACAGGUGUUGAGCCUAAAAAAACAUUUCUCAGUGGGUUUCUACAGUGUCUUGGGCUUAACUUUAAAGCAAAUUAAAACAUUUAAAAGU